Molecule: small nuclear RNA, 196 nt
Filed under: Salix viminalis (osier)
Lineage: Eukaryota; Viridiplantae; Streptophyta; Magnoliopsida; Malpighiales; Salicaceae
Rfam family: U2 spliceosomal RNA
About the family: U2 is a small nuclear RNA (snRNA) component of the spliceosome (involved in pre-mRNA splicing). Complementary binding between U2 snRNA (in an area lying towards the 5' end but 3' to hairpin I) and the branchpoint sequence (BPS) of the intron results the bulging out of an unpaired adenosine, on the BPS, which initiates a nucleophilic attack at the intronic 5' splice site, thus starting the first of two transesterification reactions that mediate splicing.
Source: RNAcentral
AUACCUUUCUCGGCCUUUUGGCUAAGAUCAAGUGUAGUAUCUGUUUUUAUCAGUUUAAUAUCUGAUACGUGGGCCAUAGGUCCACACGAUAUUAAAUUAGUUUUUAAAAGGGGAAAAUUCACCGCAGUGGCUUGCUACUGGAAUCUUCAUGCGUCGCCAAAGCGUUACACUACUGUAAUGGCCUGGCGCGCUCUCC